Non-coding RNA from Danio rerio (zebrafish), 463 nucleotides. NCBI's taxonomy places the organism in Eukaryota, Metazoa, Chordata, Actinopteri, Cypriniformes, Danionidae. The record is from RefSeq and is a predicted model, not a curated record.
GAGCUCAUAAUGAUGGGAUCAAAAGGAAGUGAACUGGACUCUGAGGAACUUAACACAAGAUUGUGAUGGACCUAGAAUGCAACACCGUUUACGAAUAAGUCAAGAACCAAAUGAAACACUAUUUUCCAGAGCGCAGAUUAUGGAAGGGUCUGCAAAACUAAUGGAGCAGUUUCUUCUUCUUGGAGUGCCACAGCUUGAUGCUGCAUAUAAGGACUUAGUGAAGAACACAGAAACAUCUUUAAAAGAAAUGGCCCAAAAGAAGGGAAGGAAAGAAGGAAGUGCUCUAUGCUAGUCUCAUUGGACCAGCAGAGGAAACCACAGAAGAAAUCCAAAGGUCCUAACAGCUCUCCUGAUUCCGUCAAGGCUUGAAGUGUCAGCAUUACGUUGGCCUACACUCGCUCACUUGCCUUCCACUCCCUCAUUUAUCAGAGGCACCACAGUAGAAUGAAUUAGCAAUUACUUU